Molecule: ribosomal RNA, 449 nt
Filed under: uncultured bacterium
Lineage: Bacteria
Description: partial 16S ribosomal RNA
Rfam family: Bacterial small subunit ribosomal RNA
Source: RNAcentral
AAUGAACGCUGGCGGCAUGCCUAACACAUGCAAGUCGAACGAGACCUUCGGGUCUAGUGGCGCACGGGUGCGUAACGCGUGGGAAUCUGCCCUUGGGUUCGGAAUAACUCGCCGAAAGGCGUGCUAAUACCGGAUGAUGACGUAAGUCCAAAGAUUUAUCGCCCAAGGAUGAGCCCGCGUAGGAUUAGCUAGUUGGUGGGGUAAAGGCCCACCAAGGCGACGAUCCUUAGCUGGUCUGAGAGGAUGAUCAGCCAUACUGGGACUGAGACACGGCCCAGACUCCUACGGGAGGCAGCAGUGGGGAAUAUUGGACAAUGGGCGAAAGCCUGAUCCAGCAAUGCCGCGUGAGUGAUGAAGGCCUUAGGGUUGUAAAGCUCUUUUACCCGGGAUGAUAAUGAUAGUACCGGGAGAAUAAGCCCCGGCUAACUCCGUGCCAGCCGCCGCGGUAA